This is a long non-coding RNA of Tyto alba (common barn owl), 369 nucleotides long. RefSeq lists it as uncharacterized. The record is from RefSeq and is a predicted model, not a curated record. The transcript has 3 exons. Lineage: Eukaryota; Metazoa; Chordata; Aves; Strigiformes; Tytonidae.
AAAUUGCUGUGUAUCCUUUAAUAAAGUGGCAUUAACUUGAUCACAUUGAUCGUGCAUGUUGUGUCCGAGACUUCCGCGUCACCACGCUGCACUAAGCAAUCCCUGUCUGUCUCCUUCCUUUCCCUGGGAACACACAAACACUAAUCAGAGCCAGAACAGCGCUUUUAGGCUCACGGCGAGAACUUCUCACAGAAAGCGCUCGCACGUACGAUCGUCGCUGUACAGCAGCCUCCCCUCCAAACUGCCACGGCAAAGAUGAAGCAGUUGUUUGAAGCAUGGUGAAAACUGUCCGAUUCUCAACAGCAGCCAUACGUGCAGCUUGCUGAAGAUGAUAAGGUUCGGUACGAGAAUGAAAUGCAGUUGUGGGAA